GCUAGAUGGUGACUCUAUGUAGGUCUUUUGGUAUGAUCUUAGAAAUUGGCCAAAGGAAAUCCUUCUAUAGUAACUUAAAUAUGAACAUCCUUUUUGAACGAGGUUUUGACACCCAUUGUGUUUGGUUUUGCUAUGCUCAAUGCGAUCAGUUCACCAUUCUGUUUGCUUUUCUUGAACUCGUAUUGUAGCGUCUUUGUCUACACUGUGCUGUUCUAGUGCUACUAUGGUCUAUGGGCCUUGUUUACUAGAUCUCAUGUUGUGAUAUUUUUUUUAUACUUCCCUAGAUAUGGUUGAGUACAUCCUGAAACACUGUUUAAAACAUCACCG
RNAcentral lists this long non-coding RNA (327 nucleotides) under Panicum hallii. RNAcentral's name for it is "long non-coding RNA (PHAL_LNC000188)". The record is from RNAcentral. Lineage: Eukaryota; Viridiplantae; Streptophyta; Magnoliopsida; Poales; Poaceae.